Myotis lucifugus (little brown bat) is the source of this 110-nucleotide small nuclear RNA. The record is from Ensembl. Lineage: Eukaryota; Metazoa; Chordata; Mammalia; Chiroptera; Vespertilionidae.
GUGACCACUUCGGCAGCACAUCUAUACUAAAGUUGAAACAAUACAGAAAAGAUUAGCAUGGCCCCUGUGCAAGGAUGACAUGCACACACACAAAAAAAGAAAAUAUCUAA